Molecule: ribosomal RNA, 681 nt
Filed under: uncultured bacterium
Lineage: Bacteria
Description: bacterial SSU rRNA
Rfam family: Bacterial small subunit ribosomal RNA
Source: RNAcentral
UAACGCGUAGGCAACCUGCCCUUUAGACGGGGACAACAUUCCGAAAGGAGUGCUAAUACCGGAUGUGAUCAUCGUGCCGCAUGGCAGGAUGAAGAAAGAUGGCCUCUACAAGUAAGCUAUCGCUAAAGGAUGGGCCUGCGUCUGAUUAGCUAGUUGGUAGUGUAACGGACUACCAAGGCGAUGAUCAGUAGCCGGUCUGAGAGGAUGAACGGCCACAUUGGGACUGAGACACGGCCCAAACUCCUACGGGAGGCAGCAGUGGGGAAUCUUCCGCAAUGGACGAAAGUCUGACGGAGCAACGCCGCGUGAGUGAUGAAGGAUUUCGGUCUGUAAAGCUCUGUUGUUUAUGACGAACGUGCAGUGUGUGAACAAUGCAUUGCAAUGACGGUAGUAAACGAGGAAGCCACGGCUAACUACGUGCCAGCAGCCGCGGUAAUACGUAGGUGGCGAGCGUUGUCCGGAAUUAUUGGGCGUAAAGAGCAUGUAGGCGGCUUAAUAAGUCGAGCGUGAAAAUGCGGGGCUCAACCCCGUAUGGCGCUGGAAACUGUUAGGCUUGAGUGCAGGAGAGGAAAGGGGAAUUCCCAGUGUAGCGGUGAAAUGCGUAGAUAUUGGGAGGAACACCAGUGGCGAAGGCGCCUUUCUGGACUGUGUCUGACGCUGAGAUGCGAAAGCCAGGGUAGC